UAGGUUAACGAGGCGAACCGGGGGAACUGAAACAUCUAAGUACCCCGAGGAAAAGAAAUCAACCGAGAUUCCCCCAGUAGCGGCGAGCGAACGGGGAGCAGCCCAGAGUCUGAAUCAGCUUGUGUGUUAGUGGAACGGUCUGGAAAGUCCGACGGUACAGGGUGAUAGUCCCGUACACCAAAAUGCACAGGCUGUGAACUCGAAGAGUAGGGCGGGACACGUGGUAUCCUGUCUGAAUAUGGGGGGACCAUCCUCCAAGGCUAAAUACUCCUGACUGACCGAUAGUGAACCAGUACCGUGAGGGAAAGGCGAAAAGAACCCCGGCGAGGGGAGUGAAAAAGAACCUGAAACCGUGUACGUACAAGCAGUGGGAGCACCUUCGGGUGUGACUGCGUACCUUUUGUAUAAUGGGUCAGCGACUUAUAUUCUGUAGCAAGGUUAACCGUAUAGGGGAGCCGCAGGGAAACCGAGUCUUAACUGGGCGUUAAGUUGCAGGGUAUAGACCCGAAACCCGGUGAUCUAGCCAUGGGCAGGUUGAAGGUUGGGUAACACUAACUGGAGGACCGAACCGACUAAUGUUGAAAAAUUAGCGGAUGACUUGUGGCUGGGGGUGAAAGGCCAAUCAAACCGGGAGAUAGCUGGUUCUCCCCGAAAGCUAUUUAGGUAGCGCCUCGUGAACUCAUCUUCGGGGGUAGAGCACUGUUUCGGCUAGGGGGUCAUCCCGACUUACCAACCCGAUGCAAACUACGAAUACCGAAGAAUGUUAUCACGGGAGACACACGGCGGGUGCUAACGUCCGUCGUGAAGAGGGAAACAACCCAGACCGCCAGCUAAGGUCCCAAAGUCAUGGUUAAGUGGGAAACGAUGUGGGAAGGCACAGACAGCCAGGAUGUUGGCUUAGAAGCAGCCAUCAUUUAAAGAAAGCGUAAUAGCUCACUGGUCGAGUCGGCCUGCGCGGAAGAUGUAACGGGGCUAAACCAUGCACCGAAGCUGCGGCAGCGACACUAUGUGUUGUUGGGUAGGGGAGCGUUCUGUAAGCCUGCGAAGGUGACCUGUGAGGGUUGCUGGAGGUAUCAGAAGUGCGAAUGCUGACAUAAGUAACGAUAAAGCGGGUGAAAAGCCCGCUCGCCGGAAGACCAAGGGUUCCUGUCCAACGUUAAUCGGGGCAGGGUGAGUCGACCCCUAAGGCGAGGCCGAAAGGCGUAGUCGAUGGGAAACAGGUUAAUAUUCCUGUACUUGGUGUUACUGCGAAGGGGGGACGGAGAAGGCUAUGUUAGCCGGGCGACGGUUGUCCCGGUUUAAGCAUGUAGGCUGAUUGUCCAGGCAAAUCCGGAUAAUCAAGGCUGAGGUGUGAUGACGAGGCACUACGGUGCUGAAGUAACAAAUGCCCUGCUUCCAGGAAAAGCCUCUAAGCAUCAGGUAACAUCAAAUCGUACCCCAAACCGACACAGGUGGUCAGGUAGAGAAUACCAAGGCGCUUGAGAGAACUCGGGUGAAGGAACUAGGCAAAAUGGUGCCGUAACUUCGGGAGAAGGCACGCUGGUGUGUAGGUGAAGCCCCUGCGG
This 1565-nucleotide ribosomal RNA is filed under the name Klebsiella pneumoniae. RNAcentral describes it as "partial 23S ribosomal RNA". It matches the Rfam family "Bacterial large subunit ribosomal RNA", at positions 167 to 1779 of the family's 2925-position model. The record is from RNAcentral. Lineage: Bacteria; Pseudomonadati; Pseudomonadota; Gammaproteobacteria; Enterobacterales; Enterobacteriaceae.